GCCGGGGUGGCGGAAUUGGUAGACGCGACGGACUUAAAAUCCGUUGGCCGUAACCGGUCGUGCGGGUUCAAGUCCCGCUCCCGGCACCA
This 89-nucleotide transfer RNA is filed under the name Gemmatimonadota bacterium. RNAcentral's name for it is "Gemmatimonadetes bacterium tRNA-Leu". It matches the Rfam family "tRNA". From Rfam's summary of the family: Transfer RNA (tRNA) molecules are approximately 80 nucleotides in length. The record is from RNAcentral. Lineage: Bacteria; Pseudomonadati; Gemmatimonadota.